Molecule: transfer RNA, 79 nt
Filed under: Anaerolineae bacterium
Lineage: Bacteria; Bacillati; Chloroflexota; Anaerolineae
Description: tRNA-Gly
Rfam family: tRNA
About the family: Transfer RNA (tRNA) molecules are approximately 80 nucleotides in length. Their secondary structure includes four short double-helical elements and three loops (D, anti-codon, and T loops).
Source: RNAcentral
GCGGGCGUAGCUCAAUGGUAGAGCCCCAGCCUUCCAAGCUGGUCGUGAGGGUUCGAUNNUUCGAUCCCCUUCGCCCGCU